RNAcentral lists this ribosomal RNA (482 nucleotides) under uncultured bacterium. RNAcentral describes it as "partial 16S ribosomal RNA". It matches the Rfam family "Bacterial small subunit ribosomal RNA", at positions 28 to 507 of the family's 1533-position model. The record is from RNAcentral.
GACGAACGCUGGCGGCGUGCUUAACACAUGCAAGUCGAACGCUGAAGCUCAGCUUGCUGGGUGGAUGAGUGGCGAACGGGUGAGUAACACGUGAGUAACCUGCCCUCUUCUUUGGAAUAACGCCCGGAAACGGGUGCUAAUACUGGAUAUUCACUGAUUCUCGCAUGGGGGUUGGUGGAAAGGUUUUUUCUGGUGGGGGAUGGGCUCGCGGCCUAUCAGCUUGUUGGUGGGGUGAUGGCCUACCAAGGCUUUGACGGGUAGCCGGCCUGAGAGGGUGACCGGUCACAUUGGGACUGAGAUACGGCCCAGACUCCUACGGGAGGCAGCAGUGGGGAAUAUUGCACAAUGGGCGAAAGCCUGAUGCAGCGACGCCGCGUGAGGGAUGGAGGCCUUCGGGUUGUAAACCUCUUUCGCUCAUGGUCAAGCCGCAGCUUUGGGUUGUGGUGAGGGUAGUGGGUAAAGAAGCGCCGGCUAACUACGUG